RNAcentral lists this ribosomal RNA (411 nucleotides) under Pectobacterium carotovorum subsp. carotovorum. RNAcentral's name for it is "partial 23S ribosomal RNA". It matches the Rfam family "Bacterial large subunit ribosomal RNA", at positions 503 to 916 of the family's 2925-position model. The record is from RNAcentral. Lineage: Bacteria; Pseudomonadati; Pseudomonadota; Gammaproteobacteria; Enterobacterales; Pectobacteriaceae.
GUGAGGGAAAGGUGAAAAGAGCGUCGAUGACGAGUGAAAUAGAUCCUGAACUAGCAAUCAUACAAGCACUUAAAGCAUAAUCCCUCCCUAGAGGAGGACUAAAAUGUGAUAAGGUACCUUUUGUAUAAUGGGUCGGCGAGUUUAUAGUAGUAGCAAGGUUAAUAACCCUAGCGAAAGCGACUGACUAGUAAUAUCUAGUGCGGGUAAAGUUACUAUUAUAAGACCCGAAACGUGGUGAUCUAUCCUUGACCAGACUAGUAAAUAGGUCGAACGGGUCAAUGUUGCAGUAUUGUCCGAUGAGUUGAGGAUUGUAGGUGAAAGGCCAAUCUGACCACGAGAUAGCUGGUAUUCCUCGAAACGUAUAUAGGUACGGCCCUCUGAUAUAUAUUCACGCAGGUACAGCACUGAUUG